This 224-nucleotide long non-coding RNA is filed under the name Monodelphis domestica (gray short-tailed opossum). Its description in RNAcentral is "lncRNA (ENSMODG00000037344.1)". The record is from RNAcentral. Lineage: Eukaryota; Metazoa; Chordata; Mammalia; Didelphimorphia; Didelphidae.
UUUAGUGAACAGAUUUUUUUCAGGUUCACAGCCAGGCUUGCUCUCAUUGUCACCUUCAUUUUCCUGAGAAGAUCACAUCCUCGUUACAGAGAUAGAAGAUGGGAAGAGAGAAGCUGGGAGACUGGCUCUUCUCACCUUAGAGCCAGAGAAGCAGAAUUGGAAGCAACAGGAUUCCUAAUGAAAGUAGGUAUGUCAAGUUAUUAAACUAAAUAUUGAGAGGUAGU